Molecule: ribosomal RNA, 290 nt
Filed under: Prototheca blaschkeae
Lineage: Eukaryota; Viridiplantae; Chlorophyta; Trebouxiophyceae; Chlorellales; Chlorellaceae
Description: partial 28S ribosomal RNA
Rfam family: Eukaryotic large subunit ribosomal RNA
Source: RNAcentral
UGGACCUGAGCUCAGGCAAGACUACCCGCUGAACUUAAGCAUAUCAAUAAGCGGAGGAAAAGAAACGAACCAGGAUUCCCUUAGUAACGGCGAGCGAACGGGGAAGAGCCCAGCGUGUCAAUCUGGCUCUCUUGCAGAGCCCGAGUUGUGGUCUGGAGGGCGGCGCUCCGCGCGGUCCGAUCGCCAAGUCCGCUGGAAAGCGGCGUCGGAGAGGGUGACAACCCCGUGGGCGAUCGGCAGCCGCGCACCUCGAGCCCGUUCCGCGGAGUCGGGUUGCUUGGGAAUGCAGC